This 353-nucleotide transfer-messenger RNA is filed under the name Lachnospiraceae. RNAcentral describes it as "CAG-791 sp900317555 Standard tmRNA". It matches the Rfam family "transfer-messenger RNA". From Rfam's summary of the family: Bacterial tmRNA, also known as 10Sa RNA or SsrA, is named for its dual tRNA and mRNA-like properties. Its role is to liberate the mRNA from a stalled ribosome. Lineage: Bacteria; Bacillati; Bacillota; Clostridia; Lachnospirales. The record is from RNAcentral. RNAcentral also lists the same sequence under 1 other name.
GGGUUAGUAAAGGUUUCGACAGGGAUCCUGCAGGUGGAGAAGCUAUCCGAAGCCGAUCGUCAAACGGCAAACUUAAAUAUAAACGCUAAUAACAAUAAGUUAGCUCUGGCUGCCUGAUCGCAGUCAGCGUCGCCCGGAGGUCACCUGCGGCUUCCGGAUACGGCGCCAAUCACGCAGGAAACGACACGGGUCCUGUCUCAGAUCCGCGGGCGUAUUCGAGGCUACUGAUUCUGCCGGAUCGCUGAUCGUCCGGCUUUUGAGGGAAUGGUCUUAGGACACAACGCUCAGCUAUGAUAGUAGAAGUACAUUGAAUGGGUUUUUGGACACGGGUUCGAUUCCCGUCUAAUCCAGAA